AUUAUUGGACAAUGAGCGCAAGCCUCAUCCAGCCAAACCGCGUGAGCGAUAAAGGCCCUACUGUUGUAAAGCUCUUUCACCGUUUAAGAUAAUGACGGUCCCCGGAGAAGUAGCCGCGGCUAACUGCCUGCCAGCAGCCGCGGUAAUACGAAGGGGGCUAGCGUUCUUCGGAAUUACUGGGCGUAAAGCGCACGUAGGCGGAUCGGUCAGUUAGGGGUGAAAUCCCGGAGCUCAACCCCGGAACUGCCUUUAAUACUGCCGGUCUAGAGUCCGAGAGAAGUGAGUGGAAUUCCGAGUGUAGAGGUGAAAUUCGUAGAUAUUCGGAGGAACACCAGUGGCGAAGGCGGCUCACUGGCUCGGUACUGACGCUGAGGUGCGAAAGCGUGGGGAGCAAAC
Molecule: ribosomal RNA, 396 nt
Filed under: uncultured bacterium
Lineage: Bacteria
Description: partial 16S ribosomal RNA
Rfam family: Bacterial small subunit ribosomal RNA
Source: RNAcentral